AUGCGGUGGAAGCUCGGCACCGCGGCGUACAAGCGCGUGCCGUCCCGGGACGCCGCCAUGGAUCCCGACCUCGAGACGCCAGAUCCGGCAGCAGAGAAGACGCCCGACGGCGGAGGCGGAGGAGCAGGGGCAGGGGCAGGCCCGUCGUGGCGCAGGUCGCUGCCGCACGUGUGCGUCGCCACGGUCACCUCCUUCCUCUUCGGCUACCACACAGGGGUGGUGAACGAGCCGCUCGAGAGCAUCUCCGCCGACCUCGGAUUCGCCGGAAACACGCUGGCCGAAGGGCUUGUGGUCAGCAUAUGCUUGGGGGGAGCGUUCGUCGGGUGCCUCUUCAGCGGCUCUGUCGCCGACGGAAUCGGCCGGCGCCGCGCUUUUCAGCUCAGCACCCUGCCCAUGAUCGUCGGAGCCGCCUUAAGUGCUCUCACCAACAGCCUGGAAGGAAUGCUAUUUGGAAGAUUAUUGGUUGGAGCAGGAAUGGGGUUGGGUCCACCGGUGGCUUCACUCUAUAUAACAGAGGUCUCUCCCCCCUCUGUGAGGGGUAUGUAUGGCAGCUUUGUUCAGAUUGCGACCUGUCUGGGAAUCUUAUUCUCUCUUCUAGUCGGUACCCCUGUCAAGGACAUUGAUAGAUGGUGGAGAGUGUGUUUCUGGGUUUCAGCUGUCCCAGCAGUUUUACAAGCUAUUGCUAUGGAGUUCUGUGUUGAGAGCCCCCAGUGGCUAUAUAAGUGUGGAAGAACAAACGAAGCAGAAAUGCAGUUUGAGAAGCUUCUAGGCCCUCUUCACGUAAAAUCUGCUAUGGCAGAACUUUCUCGAUCGGAGAGAGGAGAUGAUGGGGAAAGUGUGAAGUUCUCAGAGUUGUUUUAUGGUCGUCACUUCAAUGUUGUUUUUAUUGGCACAACGCUCUUUGCUUUACAACAGUUAUCGGGCAUAAAUUCUGUGUUCUAUUUCUCAUCAACGGUGUUCAGAAGUGUGGGGGUGCCCUCUAGCCUUGCCAAUAUAUGCAUGGGGAUUGCAAAUUUGUUAGGUUCUAUUAUAGCUAUGCUUCUAAUGGACAAACUAGGCAGGAAAAUGCUUCUUGUAGGAAGCUUCUUUUUCAUGGCCUUCUCAAUGGGACUUCAGGCUAUUGGAGCGAAUCGUCACCUUGGUUCUGCAAGUGUGUAUCUUUCGGUCGGUGGCAUACUGCUGUUUGUCUUGGCAUUUUCAUUGGGAGCAGGCCCAGUUCCAGGACUUCUUUUGCCUGAGAUUUUCCCAAACAAAAUUCGGGCCAAAGCUAUGGCUCUGUGUAUGUCAGUGCAUUGGGGUGUCAACUUCUUCGUCAGUUUGUUAUUCUUGCGGCUUCUGGAGCAACUUGGUCCACAGGUUCUGUACACGAUGUUCUCGUCAGCAUGUGUGGUAGGAGCAAUAUUUGUGCGGCGACACGUAGUCGAAACAAAGGGAAAAACUUUGCAGGAGAUAGAAGUUUCACUGUUGCAAACACAGUAA
RNAcentral lists this ribosomal RNA (1479 nucleotides) under Triticum aestivum (bread wheat). RNAcentral describes it as "partial small subunit ribosomal RNA". The record is from RNAcentral. Lineage: Eukaryota; Viridiplantae; Streptophyta; Magnoliopsida; Poales; Poaceae.